GUGCACCAGUCGCGAAUUUUUCACAAUGGGGGAAACCCUGAUGGAGCGACGCCGCGUGGAGGAUGAAGGCGUUUUCGUCGUAAACUCCUGUCAUGCGAGAACAAGAAAGUGAUAGUAUCGCAAGAGGAAGAGGCGGCUAACUCUGUGCCAGCAGCCGCGGUAAUACAGAGGCCUCAAGCGUUGUUCGGAUUCAUUGGGCGUAAAGGGUGCGUAGGUGGCAUGGUAAGUUGAAGGUGAAAUCUCGGAGCUCAACUCCGAAACUGCCUUCAAUACUGCUGUGCUCGAGGACUGUAGAGGAGAAUGGAAUUCACGGUGUAGCAGUGAAAUGCGUAGAUAUCGUGAGGAAGACCAGUGGCGAAGGCGAUUCUCUGGGCAGUUCCUGACACUGAGGCACGAAGGCUAGGGGAGCAAACGGGAUUAGAUACCCCUGUAGU
RNAcentral lists this ribosomal RNA (434 nucleotides) under uncultured organism. RNAcentral's name for it is "bacterial SSU rRNA". It matches the Rfam family "Bacterial small subunit ribosomal RNA", at positions 346 to 794 of the family's 1533-position model. The record is from RNAcentral.